RNAcentral lists this long non-coding RNA (309 nucleotides) under Drosophila melanogaster (fruit fly). RNAcentral's name for it is "long non-coding RNA:CR43302 (Dmel_CR43302)". Lineage: Eukaryota; Metazoa; Arthropoda; Insecta; Diptera; Drosophilidae. The record is from RNAcentral.
AUGACUUAUUUCGACGGUGUAGCGCCUUGAUAAGCGCAGCUAGUUUCGUAUGCAGCUCAGGAUUGUCGCUUGCUCCUCGUCGCUGUCACUGUCGACAUCGUUGAUCAUUGCCAAUGGGCCAUGGAAGAGGUGAAGACCACAGGAACAACAAAGGUAAAACCACCAACAGGAACAGCGGCACCAAUUGUCAAUUCUGAUGAUGAUGAUGAUGUUGUUCCUUCGAACAGUCGGUUCUUGCACUGAAAGAAAUAGGUGUGUCGCUUUAAAAAGCUAGCCCGACUUUAGCAUAUACAUAUAAGAAAUACCAAU